This is a long non-coding RNA of Stylophora pistillata, 390 nucleotides long. The record is from RefSeq and is a predicted model, not a curated record. NCBI's taxonomy places the organism in Eukaryota, Metazoa, Cnidaria, Anthozoa, Scleractinia, Pocilloporidae.
CGAGUGAUAACAAAAUCGGACAACCGCACAACAAAGAACACCCCAAAUAUUUAAAAGUGAAUUGCCUCUUGAAAGAAAAAAUGCUGCAGGAAAUGGAAUGUUUCAUACUCUUCGCUCUCUUUACUUGUCUGGAUUGUGUUUCUGCGAAUAACCAGUGUGGAGCAAAUAGCAUGGGAGAUGAUUGUCGAGUGAUUCAAUUCAAAGAAGGAACAAAAAACAAGAUCUUAAAAAAUCACGUUAUUAGGACAGACCAAGUGCAAGAUAAGAAUAUCUGCGAGUUGAGAUGCUAUCUUGAGCCAAACUGCGUGUCUUACAACUACGGUCCACAGGGAGGUGGAACAUUCACAUGCGAGGUGAAUAACGCGACCCACUUACAAGACUUCGAUUCCU